This is a long non-coding RNA of Catharus ustulatus (Swainson's thrush), 3276 nucleotides long. RefSeq lists it as uncharacterized. The record is from RefSeq and is a predicted model, not a curated record. The transcript has 2 exons. Lineage: Eukaryota; Metazoa; Chordata; Aves; Passeriformes; Turdidae.
CUGGCACGGCUCGGGGAGGGGAGCCCGAGCCAUCGCUGCCCACCUCCGCUGCCGGGGCAGCCGAGCGGCUGCUCCCGAAAGCAGGAAGGUUGGCGUUCGAGCAAAGCGAGCCGGGGCCUGCGGCAGCCCCGGGGCCGCCGAGCAGGCUGGCAGCGCUGUGCCCGGCCAUGGCAGCCGCCACGCGCAUCCGCUGCCCUGGCUUCGCCAAGCCAGAUCCUGCAAAUCUCCAUGCACGCUCCCACUAAAUUCCGAGGACAUUUUCACGUGUGAGACUUAACUCGCCUGCAAAAGUAUUCCCAGAACUAGGCCUCGCUUAAACUAUCCAUGGCAGCCUGAGUUUAAGUGCCUCUUCAUCUAAAAACCAGUUGUUACCCACACAUUGCAUCCCAAACUGCUGCAGCACCACACCACACCACCUACUCUGUGACCGCAGAGCGUCCCAGCAGAGCCCUGAGACAAGUUUCCCUCUUCUGUGUUGCUUUUCACACCACCUAUUAUAAUAACAAGUUACAACAUCGGCAAUGCACAGGAUGAAGGGUAUGACAUAGCUACCCAAGAUGCUACUUGCAAUUACACUGUACGUAACAGAGAUUUUUCAUUGUGAUUGUUACACUUUUAAAAGCAAAUGAGUUAAUCAAAUUGCUAUUUUUGGAAUGCACUUAAAGGAGCAUUAAAAUGCAUUAAUUUCAUUAAAAUAAAUGAGCAGAUAGGUAACAAAACAAGUAUCAGCCAAAUAAGCAAGAUCUCAACUAUGGAGCCAAAUCCAGCCCUAGUGAAAUCAUCUGAGUUGUGCUUGUCUACAGCACACUUAAUUUGGCUUCUGCAGUCACACAGCUGAUGCUUUAUUUGGUUUUCAGGGGUGUGUAUAUUAAAAAUGUGUGAGCUGUGCUUCUUCUCCAGCGUGAUUAACCACUGAAGUUAAAUUCCCAUUUAGCUUUGCUGUGCAGUCUUAUCACACAUGCAGGUUUUGGUGUGUGUACACACCUGAGAUGCAGAGAGGCAUUCCCAGCCCCUGUGUUGGGUGUAAGGGACAUGAGUUGUGUCUGAAGUGAGGGUGUGAUGAGGUGGAUUUCAGCAGAGGCUGCUCACAACCAGCUGCAUAUAUAUGCUCCAGUUAAUAGGUUGUACUGGAGUCUGUGCUUCCAUCUUUCAUUACUGCUGUUACUCAUGGCAGUGAGAGUAAAGGAAGGGUUGGUGUGUCUGUAAUCACACAUUAAUUUGCUAUGUAGAUACAUCCUAAGAACCUCUCAGCCCAGGAAAAUUACGCUGGAGUAAGGUUGGAUGUGAAUGUAAAGCAGAACUGUAUUCAGAUAGUUUAUUCAUUCUGGAAUGACCAAGUUGUUUCCUGGUUUCACUUAAUCCACUUUCAAAGUGGAUUAAGGUAAUUCAAGAAACUGAGUUCUUACACUGGCGUAAGAGUUGUCUACACAUGGGUUUAGGCGAACAUAAUUACUGCAGUGUACAGGGUAAGUGUCUCGAUUCAGUGUGUAGAGGAGCCCCACAGGUGAAAACAACAGAAUUUAGUCAUUUUGUAUGACAUGAGGUUAAUUUAGCCCAACAUUUGACCUACUUUUUUCUUCAUGAGACAUAUUUAAUUCAUUGCAGGUUUUUCUUCCUCAACAAAAACCCCACAACAGAAACAUAUUUAUGAUCAGUUUCAAGAUAACAAUGCCAUUUGCACUCCACUAAAAAUAAACAAUUUAAUCAGUAUAUACUCUAAAUACCUUCUCAACUGCCCUAAAGAAGAGAAAAGGUUCUUUACUGGAAGAAAUACCAACUUCUCAAUUAUAAAUAUUUUGAGCAGUUUGUUCCAAAUAAAAGGAAAACAAACCCCAAAGCUCUGCUCUGCCCUCUGAGACACCCAUGAUCCAUUUGACUGCAUUCCAUUCAUAGCAAUAGCACCCAGUCUGACUCAGCAAUAUUAGUUCCCGAAUGAGGAGCCUCACAGACUCACACAGAAGGGUUUGCAGAACAGGCCCUUCAGGAGGCACCUUUAGAAUAGAGAGCUUAUUUAUAGUUUGCUUACAGAGGUCUGAAUCAGGGAGAACCUACCUGAAACCCAGGCAGCCUCUCUGCUCUGAAUCAGUUGUAUUGCAUCACUGGCAUACAGGAAAGUGACUGAACUGAUAAUGGGAACAUACAAGAUGUUUUGUGACCUUGUGCCAAGCACAAAGUUUGUCAAAUGCCAUUCAGUGCCAUUCCAUGCCACAGACAUCCGUGGAAGAGAGGUGAUUCUAAUGUGAAUGUAGUCUCCUAAACUUUAAACUUAAGACUCUUUGUUGGUUUGCUUUUCUUGAAGGAGGAGGCAGAGGGGAUUGAACCAAACAAAAACUGGAUGAGGCAGAAAUUAUGUAAGCUCAGGUAGUAAACUAGCCAAUUUUUUGAAUGAAGCAUAAAUAUAAAAGCCAAAUGAUACAAAUUGCUGACCCUUUAAACAUUGACAUGGGAAAAAUGCCAUUAAAAGCUAUGAAGAUGAAAAAAAUCCAGCUUCUACUUUGUGUCAAAGACUGCAAUGUGUCACACAUUACAGGGGUAACCUGGGGUCUUCCCCUACAGUGAUGAAGUAGUCCCAGCUACUCUGUGUAACAGGCAGUGAUGCCUACAGGAUUCUCAUUUUGUGAUUACAAGCAUAGCUUUGCCCACCUGUGCUUGUCUUGGUUAAGGAUAUAGGGAGUGGAUUUCACCUACAACUCCCUCAUGCCAAACCUGCUUAUUUAAAUAAGAAUAAUUCUGGUAACAAAAUAAGCAUUGACUGAAGAAGGUAAACGUAUAGAAAUGUAAAUAAGAAAUCAAGUACUUAAAUUCUGUGGUGCUGAAUGACUUUGACCAUGGGUCUUGAUAUUAAGGCUCAAAUAUUAAGCCUGGUAUUAAACUCAGAUUGAAAGCAAUGAGAGUUUUAUAGGAGCAUGCCUGAUCUGAAAUCCUACUUGAAUUUUAAAAAUUGAUUGGAUUAUUGUACACUCUGCUUCCACAGUGAGAGGUCUCUGAGCGUUGGAUCCACCUGCGAUGCUGGGGUGUCCUGGCUCUCCCCUACUCCUGUCAUUACAGGGGCAUUAGUCAUCCAGAGAGGAAAGUGUCUUUAAAUCCCCACGAGGAUCAGCACAGCACACGCAAGAGGAAAUCUCAGCACUCAGCCAAUGCCCGGCAAUGAAGGAUCCUCUGUGGGAGUUGGUUAGUAGUGCCAAUGUUUGAUAUUUGUCGUAACAACCACCGACUGUUUUGUUUUUUGUUCUAACAAUGUGAAUUAUGCAUUAAACAUUAAUACAAGUGAGUGUA